AUUGAACGCUGGCGGCAUGCUUUACACAUGCAAGUCGAACGGCAGCGCGGGCUUCGGCCUGGCGGCGAGUGGCGAACGGGUGAGUAAUGCAUCGGAACGUGCCCAGUAGUGGGGGAUAGCCCGGCGAAAGCCGGAUUAAUACCGCAUACGACCUGAGGGUGAAAGCGGGGGACCGAAAGGCCUCGCGCUAUUGGAGCGGCCGACGUCGGAUUAGCUAGUUGGUGGGGUAAAGGCUUACCAAGGCGACGAUCCGUAGCUGGUCUGAGAGGACGACCAGCCACACUGGGACUGAGACAGGGCCCAGACUCCUACGGGAGGCAGCAGUGGGGAAUUUUGGACAAUGGGGGCAACCCUGAUCCAGCCAUGCCGCGUGCGGGAAGAAGGCCUUCGGGUUGUAAACCGCUUUUGUUCGGGAAGAAAUCCUCUGGGCUAAUACCCCGGGGGGAUGACGGUACCGGAAGAAUAAGCACCGGCUAACUACGUG
Molecule: ribosomal RNA, 484 nt
Filed under: uncultured bacterium
Lineage: Bacteria
Description: partial 16S ribosomal RNA
Rfam family: Bacterial small subunit ribosomal RNA
Source: RNAcentral